GCUAGCGUUGCUCGGAAUCACUGGGCGUAAAGCGCACGUAGGCGGAUUGUUAAGUCAGGGGUGAAAUCCUGGAGCUCAACUCCAGAACUGCCUUUGAUACUGGCGAUCUCGAGUUCGGGAGAGGUGAGUGGAACUGCGAGUGUAGAGGUGAAAUUCGUAGAUAUUCGCAAGAACACCAGUGGCGAAGGCGGCUCACUGGCCCGAUACUGACGCUGAGGUGCGAAAGCGUGGGGAGCAAACAGG
Molecule: ribosomal RNA, 243 nt
Filed under: uncultured bacterium
Lineage: Bacteria
Description: partial 16S ribosomal RNA
Rfam family: Bacterial small subunit ribosomal RNA
Source: RNAcentral